ACUCACUCACACAACGCCAGUCGGGUUACUCACUCACUCAUCAUCUGUCACACAUUUCUCCAAUCCGAAACAACAAAAAGAAAAACAAAAAGGCAAGAAAAGCAGCAGCGCUUGGCACAUUUUUUAAGCUGCGCUUGUGUUGUGUUUUGGUUGUGCUCCCUGCUCUCUGACAACGUCGACGUCGCUGCUUCUGCGGAUGCUGCUGCUGCUGCUGCUGCGGCUGCGGCGGCGGCUUUUGUGUUUGUGUGCGUUCGGUUCAGCGCGCAUCUUUCAUCCUCGUGGCUCAAAUUGAGAUAAUUCCAUGCAAAGUCUGCGGCGACAAGUCAUCCGGCGUGCAUUACGGAGUGAUCACCUGCGAGGGCUGCAAGGGAUUCUUUCGAAGAUCGCAGAGCUCCGUGGUCAACUACCAGUGUCCGCGCAACAAGCAAUGUGUGGUGGACCGUGUUAAUCGCAACCGAUGUCAAUAUUGUAGACUGCAAAAGUGCCUAAAACUGGGAAUGAGCCGUGAUGGUCUGUAGAAAGUGUUGCAUGUGGCACCGAGAGUAAAGCGUUUGGAAACUGAAUUGAUAUCUAAGAACAAUUUUACAAUUCAAGACUUUUUAGUAACAUAGAAACAUGAAUUGAUGAUAAAUUAUUUGUGUAUUAUUAAAAAAAAAAAAGUAGGCC
Molecule: non-coding RNA, 666 nt
Organism: Drosophila melanogaster (fruit fly)
Lineage: Eukaryota; Metazoa; Arthropoda; Insecta; Diptera; Drosophilidae
Source: Ensembl